Long non-coding RNA from Danaus plexippus (monarch butterfly), 500 nucleotides. RefSeq lists it as uncharacterized. The record is from RefSeq and is a predicted model, not a curated record. The transcript has 2 exons. NCBI's taxonomy places the organism in Eukaryota, Metazoa, Arthropoda, Insecta, Lepidoptera, Nymphalidae.
CACUCUUUAACAGUGAUAUAGGUUUAUUUUAAAAAUUCUGGAAUAAUCAAAGCGUGACUUUUUAGUAUUUUAUUCGAAAAUCUGAAAACUCAAUGUUAUUGUAAUAAAACUUUGUCUGUUUAUUUGAUUACUUUUUAUUAUUUUAAUUGCUAAGAUAAAACCCCCCAAUAAUUAAACUCCUCACCUUUAGCGACAACCACGGGUUGCUUGCGCAUCCAACUAUAAAUGUAGUUUUAAAAUUGACCGAUCAGACAGCUAACAUCCCACGACUCCCACAGCCGGUGAGGGACGUAAUGUUCAAUUAAGCUCCAGACGCAGGAAGAGUAAAGCCAACUAAGAGAGUGUUAGUCGAUAAAGGAGUUACAGUGUACAGCUAUAGUCGAGACGAUCCCCCGGGGCACUUUUAUUUCGCCUUUUCCCUUACAUUUUUAUAAAAAAUAUACAUUAUAUUAUAAUCCUCCCGAGCGUCAUUGUCUUAAUAAAUCAAAUAUAUUUCUUUA